GACGACGCUGGCGGCGUGCUUAAUACAUGCAAGUCGAGCGAGGUUACUGUUUUGGAUCCCUUCGGGGUGAAGAAGCUUUAACCUAGCGGCGGACGGGUGAGUAACGCGUGGGUAACCUACCCCAAAGUCCGGGAUAACAGCGGGAAACCGCUGCUAAUACCGGAUGCCUUUACCUUGGGGCAUCUUGAGGUAAAGAAAGGUAACGCUUUGGGAUGGGCCCGCGUCCCAUUAGCUAGUUGGUGAGGUAACGGCUCACCAAGGCGACGAUGGGUAGCCGGCCUGAGAGGGUGGACGGCCACACUGGGACUGAGACACGGCCCAGACUCCUACGGGAGGCAGCAGUAGGGAAUAUUGCGCAAUGGACGGAAGUCUGACGCAGCGACGCCGCGUGAGCGAUGAAGGUCUUCGGAUCGUAAAGCUCUGUCCUUGGGGAAGAAGGUCUUCGGACUUGACGGUACCCAAGAAGAAAGCCCCGGCUAACUACGUG
Molecule: ribosomal RNA, 487 nt
Filed under: uncultured bacterium
Lineage: Bacteria
Description: bacterial SSU rRNA
Rfam family: Bacterial small subunit ribosomal RNA
Source: RNAcentral